UCGGAUAACGCCUUUGAGGCGGGACUGUGGCUUUGAAAACAAAGAACAUACACGUGUGUGCACACCGAUGACUGGUUAACGAUUUGUCCAACAUUUGCGAUAAAAGGUUUUAUUAUUUUUAAAACAAUCGUAUUUCGAUAGCGCAGUUAAUUCCAUGUUAUAAAAACGCUAGUCAUUACACUGGAUACUACAUAUACUUUUUAUACAAAUGUAUCUACACAUUGGUGCAAAACAGAAAAGAAUCAGUCGCUCUCUCUCUAUGCAAUAAUAAAUAAUCUACACUCUGAGAAGAAGAUGCUUGGUCAUUCUCACCCGGGUUCCUAAAGAUUAUGCAACCCAUCUGGGUAAAUUAGAUCUAAUAGUAAAUGUUGUCGAAUGACUAGAUACCUUUCCAAUGACAAUUGUCAAAUGACCAGAGGGCGUGAGAUUUGUUAAUCUCGUACAAGUACAGAUGAAUAAAGUAAAGAAAAGUUUUUCAAGAAAUAUUGCACUAUAUAAGCCGAAGUCGCUUCACGGUAUUCCAUUUAAAAUAAUAAUUGAUUUAAGAUUCUUUUUAGUGAUGAUUAUAUUUAUUCAACACAUAGAUAUUCAAUAAAUUUAUGUCUUGAGAAUGAAUGUAAUUUAAGUGCAUUAAGAUUAUUUUACUAUAUUAUUUUAAAGUUAGGCCGUUGAAUGAAAGUGGGUGUUGUUCUUUUUGCGAUGCCUACAAAUUAACUUACUUAUUUUUUGUUCAUGA
Phymastichus coffea is the source of this 736-nucleotide long non-coding RNA. RefSeq lists it as uncharacterized. Lineage: Eukaryota; Metazoa; Arthropoda; Insecta; Hymenoptera; Eulophidae. The record is from RefSeq and is a predicted model, not a curated record. The transcript is spliced from 3 exons.